This 327-nucleotide ribosomal RNA is filed under the name Guaranidrilus sp. CE13683. RNAcentral's name for it is "partial 16S ribosomal RNA". It matches the Rfam family "Bacterial large subunit ribosomal RNA", at positions 1953 to 2526 of the family's 2925-position model. The record is from RNAcentral. Lineage: Eukaryota; Metazoa; Annelida; Clitellata; Enchytraeida; Enchytraeidae.
AAGGUAGCAUAAUAACUUGCCCAUUAAUUGUGGGCUAGAAUGAAAGGAUAAACGAAAUAAGACCUGUUUCAAGAUAAUAAAUAAAAACUAAUAUUAAAGUGAAGAAGCUUUAAUAAAACUAAAAGACAAGAAGACCCUACAAAGCUAUAUCAAAAUUAAUAAUCAAUUUAUACUGAUUUGGUUGGGGCGACCAAGGAUAAAUCAACCUUAAUUAAUAACACUAAUAAGUGAAAUAUAGACCCUAUAUUAGACUACCAAAUAAGCUACUUUAGGGAUAACAGGCUAAUAUUACUUAAGAGUUCAUAUCUACAGUAAAGAUUGGCACCU